RNAcentral lists this ribosomal RNA (328 nucleotides) under uncultured Bacteroidota bacterium. RNAcentral's name for it is "bacterial SSU rRNA". It matches the Rfam family "Bacterial small subunit ribosomal RNA", at positions 28 to 351 of the family's 1533-position model. The record is from RNAcentral. Lineage: Bacteria; Pseudomonadati; Bacteroidota.
GAUGAACGCUAGCGGGAGGCUUAACACAUGCAAGUCGAGGGGCAGCACGAGGUAGCAAUACUUUGGUGGCGACCGGCGCACGGGUGAGUAACACGUAUGCAACUUACCCAGUACUGGGGGACAACCCGGAGAAAUUCGGACUAAUACCCCAUAAAGAUAUGAAGGGGCAUCCUUUUAUAUUUAAAGCUACGGCGGUACUGGAUGGGCAUGCGGAACAUUAGCUAGUUGGUAGGGUAACGGCCUACCAAGGCUACGAUGUUUAGGGGACCUGAGAGGGUGAUCCCCCACACUGGUACUGAGACACGGACCAGACUCCUACGGGUGGCAG